Molecule: ribosomal RNA, 245 nt
Filed under: uncultured bacterium
Lineage: Bacteria
Description: partial small subunit ribosomal RNA
Rfam family: Bacterial small subunit ribosomal RNA
Source: RNAcentral
AGAAUCAACGCUGGCGGCGUGCCUAACACAUGCAAGUCGAACGAGAAAGUGGAGCAAUCCAUGAGUAAAGUGGCGACCGGGUGAGUAACACGUGACUAACCUACCCUUGAGUGGGGGAUAACCUAGAGAAAUCUGGGCUAAUACCGCAUAAUACCUUCGGGUCAAAGGAGCAAUUCGCUUAAGGAGGGGGUCGCGGCCGAUUAGUUAGUUGGCGGGGUAAUGGCCCACCAAGACUGUGAUCGGUA